AGCAGUCGCCGCGGUAAUACGGAGGGUGCAAGCGUUAAUCGGAAUUACUGGGCGUAAAGCGCACGCAGGCGGUCUGUCAAGUCGGAUGUGAAAUCCCUGAGCUUAACUUAGGAAUUGCAUUCGAUACUGGGAAGCUAGAGUAUGGGAGAGGAUGGUAGAAUUCCAGGUGUAGCGGUGAAAUGCGUAGAGAUCUGGAGGAAUACCGAUGGCGAAGGCAGCCAUCUGGCCUAAUACUGACGCUGAGGUACGAAAGCAUGGGGAGCAAACAGGAUUAGAUACCCGGGUAGUCCCUGUCUCUUAUAC
RNAcentral lists this ribosomal RNA (303 nucleotides) under uncultured bacterium. RNAcentral describes it as "partial 16S ribosomal RNA". It matches the Rfam family "Bacterial small subunit ribosomal RNA", at positions 507 to 807 of the family's 1533-position model. The record is from RNAcentral.